AAUUUUGGACAAUGGGGGAAACCCUGAUCCAGCCAUCCCGCGUGUAUGAUGAAGGCCUUCGGGUUGUAAAGUACUUUUGGCAGAGAAGAAAAGGUACCUCCUAAUACGAGGUACUGCUGACGGUAUCUGCAGAAUAAGCACCGGCUAACUACGUGCCAGCAGCCGCGGUAAUACGUAGGGUGCAAGCGUUGAUCGGAAUUACUGGGCGUAAAGCGUGUUUAGGCGGUUCGGAAGGAAAGUUGUAAAAUCCAGGGGCUAAACCUGGGAACUGAAUUUUAACCGGCGGGGCAGGAGUAUGUAGGGGGGGGUUAGAAUCCAAGGGGUGGCAGGGAAAGGGGUGGUUAGGGGGAGGAAUCCGAUUGCCGAAGGAGGCCCCUGGGAUUAAUCCGGCGGCCAAGAACGGAAGGGUUGGGAGCAAACA
This 421-nucleotide ribosomal RNA is filed under the name uncultured bacterium. Its description in RNAcentral is "partial 16S ribosomal RNA". It matches the Rfam family "Bacterial small subunit ribosomal RNA", at positions 360 to 774 of the family's 1533-position model. The record is from RNAcentral.